AGAGAGAGAGAGAGAGAGAGAGAGAGAGAGAGAGAGAGAGAGCGUUUCAGAAUAAUGACACCUCAAUACUUUUUCUUUCUUGUCUUUUUUUUCUAUAUAUAUUUUUUUGAUGAUGUAAAAAAUAGACUCAUUAUCUUAAAGGCGGGUGCAAUCUGUUGAUUUACUGACUUUCACUGACGCUGAGUUGCUGUUGUCACUUACGAGUCUUCAAGUUGAGUGAUUAUUGAUGAAGGACUGAUUAAAGUAGCAUGUCGCGUCUGAGUGAAUGUAAACUUGUCUACUUCAUGCUAUACUUAGUCCACACGUCCUUCACUGGUGCGUAUCUUGUUGUUGUCCAGUAUUCAGUAUCUUAGUGUCUAACUUGUAAUCCCUUCAAUACUGGGACACCUUUUUCAUAUUCAUUCUGCUUAGAAUUUGGUGAUUUUAUGCAGCUUCAGACACUUCUGUGGAGAUUAAAAUAGUGAAAACUGUGGCCAUUAAUCUUCUGACCUCUAUAGACCCUUCCUGAUAUAUAUUAAGUCAUCUAAUCACUCCAAAAACUCAAGGUAAAAAAUGUGUCCCAGUAAUGAAGGGGUUAAAAUCCUUCUUGACUCGGUGGUUGAAGUGUUUGCUUGUUGAGUGUCUGUCUGUGUGUGUGUCAACAGCAGGCUUUCUCCUUGUUCCAUCGACUCAUUGUACCAUCGACUCAUUGUAUAUUAUUCAUCCUUCACCUCUGCAUUUUAUCCCUUUUAUUCAGUGUUGCUCAUGUCAACGUUAACAAUUCAGAUCGUACGCGGUAAAUUGAUGAACUUGUGUAAAGCAGUUUUGAUUAUGAGCAACGAGACAGAAUGAAGCUUCGUCACGGUGAACCACAAGGCACAGUCAGAGGCGGGCCGUAUAGUUACACCCAAACAGCAAAGGCGGAAGAUGCGUUGUCCCUGCACAGCCACGUCUUCAUCCACCUGCCCCGCUUCCGACCUUCCUGAGCCUCCAGCAGUGACGUGACUUGGAAUGCGCAAAGGAACACUGGCAACACAUGAGCACAUGAAGCUCAAGCAAAUGCAGAGGCAGUAUGGGUCCCACACUGGCAUUGGCACUACAGCACAGCCGCCAAACAGCCACUCACUGGGCCACGCCUGGCUGCAGCAGGCGUGGGAGUCAGUCUGCCGGGCCUCGUGCUCAAGGAACAAGUAACGUCAUACAGCUUCAUAUCACUGAGAUGGGGACUGCUCUGGGAAUAUAACUUGAACAAUGGCUGGAAUGGGAUAUAUAAAAUGUAGAAAUAAUGCAGAGGUGGAA
Portunus trituberculatus (swimming crab) is the source of this 1278-nucleotide long non-coding RNA. RefSeq lists it as uncharacterized. NCBI's taxonomy places the organism in Eukaryota, Metazoa, Arthropoda, Malacostraca, Decapoda, Portunidae. The transcript is spliced from 2 exons. The record is from RefSeq and is a predicted model, not a curated record.